AAAUGUUACGCACACCAAGAAAAUCCCAUAUUUUCUUAAAAAGGUUUGUUAUUGUUUAUCAACAUGUAAAGUAAAGUUGUACACUGAAAACAUGUUAUCUCUUGUGUAAAUGUACAGUUAGGUUAUCUGGUUUGACAUNNNNNNNNNNNNNNNNNNNNNNNNNNNNNNNNNNNNNNNNNNNNNNNNNNNNNNNNNNNNNNNNNNNNNNNNNNNNNNNNNNNNNNNNNNNNNNNNNNNNUAUAUAUAUAUAUUGUUUAAGCUCAUAUUAGUUUUCGAUUAUACCUUAGGCAAUAUGUGGUCAUCUCGACCGCACCUAGUUGAUCAAUCUCUACACAAACAAUUAAUAAAAUUAUGAUAUUCAUUAUAUCAAGGGGCCUAUUCUAAUUUUCUUUUAUUAUUAUUAAUGUUAAACAAAAAUAUAUUAGAAAUGUGACAUCCUAUUUCAGAUCGUCUAUGAUCUAGGGUUUGUGGGUUGCAACCCGGGCAUGAGAAAGCCUUGAGGCUGCGACAAGUUACUAGAAGCGUAGGGCUUCUCGCCAUCUUUCCAUGGAUGUGAGGAUUCAUUGGAAACAGACUUAUAAUGAAGAAGUUAUGAUAGUUUGAAGUGUUGGCAAGUUUGGUCCCUUGUUUGAGAAAAUGUGGCAGUUGACUAAGCGGGGCGUACACGUGUGUACACUUAGCGUACUCAUGUGCAUGAUUUGGACGCAGAGGCCACCUAGUACGCUGGGCAUACUAGGCUUAGGGUGAAAACCCUAAUUGAGGGGUGUGCCCUUAUUUAAGGAACAUGAUGGCCUCAUUUCUGGCCACCAUUUCCAUCCCUCAACCUUCUCAAAACCCUAAUUUUCUCCAUGAGCUUGAGUGACCAUUUGUAAGCUUCUAAGUGUUCUUGUGGGAUCCUUUGAGUGAAGAAGGAGCAAUGAAGAGAAUAGAGUUGGAGUCUAGGCUUUGGAUCUAAGCUUUUCUGUGGUUGGAGCAUCAUUUGAAGGUAUAAAGCUCAGAGCUUUCUCAUCCUUUUUAAUUUGUGCAUAUUAUGGUCCAUUUUAGUGUUUUUGGUCCCAAAGCUUGAAGCUUUAUGAGUUGUUGAACUCCAGAACCUUAUAUCUGUCCCAUUAAGUGACUCAAGUGGAUUGGACUCAUAAAAAUAGGAUCUUGGACGUCAAAACCACCCCAUGCAUGAGAUAUGAGCAUUUUUGGGAGUAAAGAGUGAGAGUAUUUGGGUUUGGGACUUUAUCAGCCAUGCAAAGGCUUAAAGUCACGAACUUUAUGGAGUAUGAGCCUUUAGGGAGUCCGGAUAUGAGAAUAUAGCUAUGGUCUUAUCGGGUUAAGACCAAGAGAGUGGGGAAAGCAAAUAUGGGAUGUAAGCCGCGCGUAAUGUCACACCCCGAAAACUGAAGGCGGAAAUGUUUCCGGGGUUGAGUCCACGUUGAGUAUCAAAUCCAAUGCACAUAGUAAGUAAAGUAAAACAACCAUUACAUUACAUAAGAAAAGUUUUACAAUUGUUUCAAAAGUAAAGUUGUACAGUUGUGAUACAUAGUAUAUAUAUGAACAAAAUGAAACGGGUCUUCCGAGUACACCGUCUUCGGACAAAAAGGAUCUUCGGGUACCUGUACUAACGCUGACCUGAGAACACAAGCGGAUUGAAAAUCAGCAUAACGCUGGUGAGUUCAUAAGUAGUUUUUGUUUGUGAAAUGUUCAAGUUUCCUUUCUAUUUAUGAAAUGUUACGCACACCAAGAAAAUCCCAUAUUUUCUUAAAAAGGUUUGUUAUUGUUUAUCAACAUGUAAAGUAAAGUUGUCAUUGAAAACACGUUAUCUCUUGUGUAAAUGUACAGUUAGGUUAUCUGGUUUGACAUACUGUUCUAGUUAUGUACCAAUGUAUACCCAGGAAAGUCCCAUACUUUCCUGAUUGUGUAUUACCAAUUGUGAAAGAUGUAAAGUUAUCCGGUUUGUUACCCUUUUCUGAUUAUGUAAACGUUUCCCCAGGAAAGUCCCAUACUUUCCUGAAUGUUGGUUAUCAAU
RNAcentral lists this long non-coding RNA (2017 nucleotides) under Lactuca sativa (garden lettuce). Its description in RNAcentral is "long non-coding RNA (LSAT_LNC005102)". The record is from RNAcentral. Lineage: Eukaryota; Viridiplantae; Streptophyta; Magnoliopsida; Asterales; Asteraceae.